RNAcentral lists this ribosomal RNA (412 nucleotides) under uncultured bacterium. RNAcentral describes it as "bacterial SSU rRNA". It matches the Rfam family "Bacterial small subunit ribosomal RNA", at positions 338 to 767 of the family's 1533-position model. The record is from RNAcentral.
CCUACGGGAGGCAGCAGUGGGGAAUAUUGGACAAUGGGCGAAAGCCUGAUCCAGCCAUGCCGCGUGAGUGAUGAAGGCCCUAGGGUUGUAAAGCUCUUUCACCGGGGAAGAUAAUGACGGUACCCGGAGAAGAAGCCCCGGCUAACUUCGUGCCAGCAGCCGCGGUAAUACGAAGGGGGCUAGCGUUGUUCGGAAUUACUGGGCGUAAAGCGCACGUAGGCGGAUCAGCCAGUUAGGGGUGAAAUCCCGGGGCUCAACCCCGGAACUGCCUUUAAUACUGUUGGUCUCGAGUUCGAGAGAGGUGAGUGGAAUUCCGAGUGUAGAGGUGAAAUUCGUAGAUAUUCGGAGGAACACCAGUGGCGAAGGCGGCUCACUGGCUCGAUACUGACGCUGAGGUGCGAAAGCGUGGGGA